Molecule: ribosomal RNA, 468 nt
Filed under: uncultured bacterium
Lineage: Bacteria
Description: partial 16S ribosomal RNA
Rfam family: Bacterial small subunit ribosomal RNA
Source: RNAcentral
GACGAACGCUGGCGGCGUGCUUAACACAUGCAAGUCGUACGGUAAGGCCCUUCUGUUGUGGCGUGCUCGAGUAGCGAACGGGUGAGUAACACGUAAGUAACCUGCCCUUUACUUUGGGCUCACUUCAGGAAACUGGGGCUAAUACCGUGUAGGCGCUCCUGCUGCAUGGUGUUGGUAGGAAACGUUCGGCGGUGGGGGAUGGACUCCCGGCUUAUCAGCUGGUUGGUGGGGUAUUGGCUUACCAAGGCUUUGACGGGUAGCCGGCCUGGGUGGGUGACCGGCAACAUGGGGACUGAGAAACGGCCCAGCCUCCUCCGGGAGGAAGAAGGGGGAAUAAUGGCACAAUGGCGCGAAGCCGGUGGAAGCACGCCGGGGUGCGGGAUAACGGCCUUCGGGUGGAAACCCGCUUCAGCAGGGGAGGAAGCGUGAGUGACGGUAAUGGGUAAAGAAGCACCGGCUAACUACGUG